This 87-nucleotide transfer RNA is filed under the name Gammaproteobacteria bacterium. RNAcentral describes it as "tRNA-Leu". It matches the Rfam family "tRNA". From Rfam's summary of the family: Transfer RNA (tRNA) molecules are approximately 80 nucleotides in length. The record is from RNAcentral. Lineage: Bacteria; Pseudomonadati; Pseudomonadota; Gammaproteobacteria.
GCCGAGGUGGCGGAAUUGGUAGACGCGCUGGCUUCAGGUGUCAGUAGGGGUAACCCUGUGGAGGUUCAAGUCCUCUCCUCGGCACCA